UACAGAGGGGGCUAGCGUUGUUCGGAAUUACUGGGCGUAAAGGGCGCGUAGGCGGCCAACUAAGUCAGACGUAAAAUCCCUCAGCUUAACUGGGGAACUGCGUCUGAUACUGGAUGGCUUGGAUCCGGGAGAGGGAUGCGGAAUUCCAGGUGUAGCGGUGAAAUGCGUAGAUAUCUGGAGGAACACCGGUGGCGAAGGCGGCAUCCUGGACCGGUAUUGACGCUGAGGAGCGAAAGCCAGGGGAGCAAACGGG
RNAcentral lists this ribosomal RNA (253 nucleotides) under uncultured bacterium. Its description in RNAcentral is "partial 16S ribosomal RNA". It matches the Rfam family "Bacterial small subunit ribosomal RNA", at positions 524 to 776 of the family's 1533-position model. The record is from RNAcentral.